Molecule: long non-coding RNA, 2108 nt
Organism: Pezoporus occidentalis (night parrot)
Lineage: Eukaryota; Metazoa; Chordata; Aves; Psittaciformes; Psittacidae
Exons: 4
Source: RefSeq, a predicted model, not a curated record
AUUUUCAAAGAUCACUGCUUCCAAGCUCAAGAAGAGUCCAUUUCUGUGAGCAGGAAAUCAAGCAAAGGCAGCAGGAGACCUGCAUGGGUGAAAGAGGAGCUCCUGACUAAACUCAAUCAUAAAGGAAACGCAUGCGGGAUAUGGAAGCAGAGUCAGUUGACCCAGGAGGAAAAUAGAGACACUGUCCAAGCUUGCAGGGCUGGAGUUAGGAAAGCCAAAGCCCACAAGAUUUGAAUCUGAUGAGUGGCAUGAGUGCUACCAGAAGGGUUUUCACAAAUACAUCAGCACAGACGGAAAGCAAGAGAAAACAUGGGCCCACUGCUGAACACAGCCAGGGCACUGGUGACAAAGUACAUGGAAAAGGCUGCUGCCCUCAGUAACCUUCUUUGCUUCAGUCUUCACUGGUAAGACCAUCCUUUGGGAAUCCCAAGUGCCUGAGACCCCUGGGAAAGUCCGAAGCAAGGUAGACUCAACCUUUGUGGAAGAGGACCAGGUUACGGAGCAUUUAAACAAAUUGGAUGUGCAGAAGUCCAUGGGACCUGACAUGGGACCAUGAGUGCCAAGGGACCAGCUGGUGUCACUGCAAGGUCACUGUCUAUAAUCUUUGAAAGAUUAUGGUGAUCAGGAGAGGUUCCUGAGGACUGGAAGAGAGUAAAUGUCACUUCUUUCUUCAAGAAGGAGGAUUCACAGGACCACAGGCUAGUUAGCCUCAUCACGAUCCAUGGGAAGAUAAAUGGAGAAGAAGUCCAGGAUGCCAGUGAGAUCACAAUAAAAAAAAUCUGGUAGCAUAAGGAUGAGCUGAGACCAACUCUCAUUUGCACUCCAGUGUUCAUCUGGAGACAGCACAAAUGAGACUCAGGAACAGAGCCCAAGUAUGCCUCUCUCACCAUUUUCUGGGAAACUUCCCUGGCAUCAGUCUCUUUAUAAGCAGAAACAGGAAUUUUCUGUCUCAGAAUGCCGAGGGCUGAGGAUAAGCAGUUAAUCAAAAAGUCAUGCGGAAGCCAGUAAAAAAUAAGGCUCCAGGUGUUGACUUGAUCUCCUGGACUAUCUUUCAGAGGAUGACUCUUCAUCUAAGCUUCAAAGACUGUGAACUACAUCAUUACCAGCCAGGACAAGAGGAAGCUUUCUGCCACACUGCACGUCCAGUAGAAGGUAUCCUUUUGAUAUCAUUUUAUCACUAAAGUUGCCCAAUAUGCUGGAAUCUAUUUAGACUCUUUAAUGGAGCUGUUUGCCUUUUUUAAUGCCUUUCCCCCAUCUGCUUUCCUUUCAUGUGCCUGGGAUUAGCAUAAAGAAUCAGACAGACUGCAAACUUGACAAAUGUGUCAUGCCUUGAUUUUGAACUGCUGUGAAAAUCUGGGUUUGGAGUAUGUUGUUAAAGCCACUGUGCUCUGUCCCGAGUUGCCCACCUGCCUAUCCACCACUAGGCAACCAGCAUCUGGAGUAGACAGUACACAGCAUGCCUAACUGUAGGUGGGGGAGGUUCUCUUUGAUAUAACUCAGCUGUGACACUGUGGAGACAAAGUAUAUCACACACAUACAUGGAUAAGACAAUACUUUCAUAUUCCAUUUUUUACCUUUCAAUAGUACUGAAAAAAAAUGUUAAGAAAUUCUACAACAUCUUUUCCUUUUUGGGUCUCCUUCUUUCCUUCCACCCUGGCUCAUUUUCGCAGCUUAGAAAUUUCACAAAUAGCUCACACACUUGCAGGGGUUGGGGGAGUAGGGAAGGUCCUGCCAAAACCAUUUCGCAGCUGGAGAGCGAGGGUGAGAUGACAUUUGUUUACAUCCUUCUCUUGAGAAGCAAAAACAUUUUCCAGGCUUUGAAACAGUUGGAAGAGGGACCCUAUCAGGCUUUCUAUAAUUCAGUGUUGCUGGUUUCAGGAUUUUUUGUUUGUUUGUUUGUUUUCCUAUUCAUGCACAGUAUAUUCAGGAACACUUGCUGGUUCAUGUUGGGGAGAGGGUCAACCACUGCAGAUAAAAAUGGACUACUGUCUGUGCAGACUCCACAAUUAUUUCUAGUCCUCCUCAUUAUGCAUGUACUUUGAUAACCUGGGCUUGGGGAAACACAGGAGCUCUGCUUGCCGAAGUUGGUCUCUCUCUUGAUCACCUUG